RNAcentral lists this long non-coding RNA (2231 nucleotides) under Drosophila guanche. The record is from RNAcentral. Lineage: Eukaryota; Metazoa; Arthropoda; Insecta; Diptera; Drosophilidae.
AUAUUUAUUUUAUUUCUUAAUAUUUUAUUCAUUGUGUAAUUGUUUUGAAUAUUCGUUAUGCUUUGAUAAAACAUGCGUAUUGAAGUCAAAUCUCAGACAAAACUUUAUAGCGCCGGGACAUAAGUAACAUUGGUAAAAUUAUGAUUUUGAUUUUUAAUAACUGAAGUUAUGAAUUUUUAAUACGUGAUGUUUCAGUCCAUUGCGGGACCUAAAACUACUUUUCAUAUAACACAACUCGCAAUGAAAUUCACUCAUUUCGAAUAGCAAAUAAAGUAAAGUAUCUUAAGAGUUAGAUGUUUUUAUAGAGCAUAUAUAAUGUUUUCAUUUGAAUGGUAUAUGUACAUACGUAUACAUGUAUGUAUGUAUAUAAAGACAGAAAAUAUAAUAUUUGAAAUCCUAUUCUCACAUCUUUUACAUGAUUACAACUAUAUACCUACCGCAAGAACCAAUCAGCCAAUAUAUCUCAUUUUAGAAGAAAAGACGAAUGAGAGUAUAAAAGAUCAUGUAAUCAUGAUUAUAUAAUUUAGUAUAAAACAUUGUUUAGUUUGAAUAGUUUCAUUUUUAUAACGGUAUGUAAGCAUUUUUGAUAUAUAAAAGGAUAAUCAAAAUUUCAUUAAACAUGUACAUGCAUAGGCGUUCCUAGAAACACUUAACGAGAUAAAACUGGCGAUUGGAUACACCAAGGUUGAAGAUCUAUGUAUAGGAUUUGCGUACAAGAUCAAUGGAUGUAAACUUAAAAAAACAUUAUUUGGAACAAAGGUAGUCCUUUAUUUAAGCGAUAAGGACAAUGAGCCGCUUUGGAUAUUUUUACCUAAAAGUUAUGUAACCAAAUUUUCCACAAAAACACCCUUUAAGAUGCUAAAGGAACAUGGAAUUUCACAUCUUAUAUAUAAAGGAAAAGAGAUGACUAGCACUCCCCAUUUCCAAUUUGUAGUAAAGAAUAAAUAAAGAAUUCAAGGGAUUCAAUUCUUAUACAUAAGAGAAAAGAGACAACUUGAUAUUCAUGUAAAUAAAAAAAAGGAACCAGGUUAAAACAUAAAUACAUUUGCGAGUUAGAAAGAGAUAAAUGGUAUAGCACGGUUUAUUUAUUUUAUGUUAUUAUUGUUUAUUAUUUAUGAAUGAUACAAUCAAAUACAACUUUUUAUACCCGGUACUCGAAGAGUAAAUAGGGUAUAUUGUAUUUGUGUCGAAUAACGGUUGUAUGUAACACACUGAAGGAAGCGUUUCCGACCCCAUAAAGUAUAUAUAUUCUUGAUCAGCAUCAAUAGCCGAGUCGAUAGAGCCAUGUCUGUCUGUUCGUCUGUCCGUCUUGUUUGUCGGCUAGUUCUCAGAGACUAUAAGAGCUAGAGCCAACAAAUGUUGGCUCCAGACUGCUGUAUGCUCACACUGAAACCAGUGUAUUUCCAAAAUGAGCCACGCCCCCCUUCCGCCCCCGAAAAAGGGCGAAAACCUUCCAAAUCUACAAUUUUGAAGAUAAAAGAAAACUAAAACCAUUCCGUAGGGAAUGACCAUAUCUAUCGGAUCACCAAAUUGGGAUCCGAUUGGAUCAUUAUUAUAGCCACAAUGGAGAAAUUAAUUUCCAGUGGCUAAACUCACCCUGUCCCGCAGCUUUUGUUGUUCUUUUUACAUUCUCUCAUUCACACUGUGCUUCUGCUUCACUCGGCCCCUGCCUCUGCCCUCCCCCUGCCGAUGUCUAUUCCGACUUUUAACCCACCCCAGCUUAUAUUUGUUUUUUUUGUGUGUGCGGGCGCUGCCUCUGCCGCGAGUCUGCAGUGUGUGGGUCUAGGGAAGGGCGGCGAGCUAACGGAGCGUGUUGGUGUGAGAAGUGUUGUAGAUGAAGAUGAUAGAUGAAGAAAAAAUUUAAACUUUGACAAAACACCGCUAAGGUGCAGAUGUAGUCCUGAGUGCCGGGUAUAAAAGUUGUGACGCGUAAGAAGCUUCUCACACGUCCCUUCUCGUUCUUAGUCAAUUCGAAGAGAUGAUUUUCGAUGAGCAUUUUAAAAUCCUGGAAAACCUCAUGGUUAUUUUGGAGGAUCUGGAGGAAAAGGAGCUUCAAUACUAAAAGUUCGUGUUUCACUAUAAGCUGUGCCCCUGGAGCAACGACGAUGCUACCGAUGGACAUGACACGUGCCUUUGUCAUACGUUACCGGCAAAGAAAGCCCAAGCUAUAGACCUCAUGCUUAAAUAUGAUAGAUUAAAUAAUAGAAUGAAUCCCACUAAAAAAAAUAAAA